This 421-nucleotide ribosomal RNA is filed under the name uncultured bacterium. RNAcentral's name for it is "partial 16S ribosomal RNA". It matches the Rfam family "Bacterial small subunit ribosomal RNA", at positions 361 to 774 of the family's 1533-position model. The record is from RNAcentral.
AUCUUCCACAAUGGACGAAAGUCUGAUGGAGCAACGUCGCGUGAGUGAAGAAGGUUCUCGUAUAGUAAAGCUCUGUUGUAAGGGAAGAACAAGUACAGGAGUAACUGUCUGUACAUAGACGGUACCUUACCAGAAAGCCACGGCUAACUACGUGCCAGCAGCCGCGGUAAUACGUAGGUGGCAAGCGUUGUCCGGAGUUAUUGGGCGUAAAGCGCGCGCAGGCGAUCCUUUAAGUAUGAUAUGAAAGCCCACGGCUCAACCGUGGAGGGUCAUUGGAAACUGGAGGACUUGAGUACAGAAGAGGAAAGUGGAAUUCCACGUGUAGCGGUGAAAUGCGUAGAGAUGUGGAGGAACACCAGUGGCGAAGGCGGCUUUCUGGUCUGUAACUGACGCUGAGGCGCGAAAGCGUGCGGAGCAAACA